Molecule: ribosomal RNA, 425 nt
Filed under: uncultured bacterium
Lineage: Bacteria
Description: bacterial SSU rRNA
Rfam family: Bacterial small subunit ribosomal RNA
Source: RNAcentral
GGGGAAUUUUGGACAAUGGGCGCAAGCCUGAUCCAGCCAUUCCGCGUGAGUGAAGAAGGCCUUCGGGUUGUAAAGCUCUUUCGGCGGGGAAGAAAUCGCACUUGCUAAUACCUUGUGUGGAUGACGGUACCUGAAGAAGAAGCACCGGCUAACUACGUGCCAGCAGCCGCGGUAAUACGUAGGGUGCGAGCGUUAAUCGGAAUUACUGGGCGUAAAGCGUGCGCAGGCGGUUUUGUAAGACAGAUGUGAAAUCCCCGGGCUCAACCUGGGAACUGCGUUUGUGACUGCAAGACUAGAGUACGGCAGAGGGGGGUGGAAUUCCUGGUGUAGCAGUGAAAUGCGUAGAUAUCAGGAGGAACACCGAUGGCGAAGGCAGCCCCCUGGGUCGAUACUGACGCUCAUGCACGAAAGCGUGGGGAGCAAAC